GGUCGGAUAUGACCAUUACCAAGUAACUAAACCAUAGCUCUCAGUUUACAAAACGUAGCUCUCAAUUGACAAAAUAUCCUACACAUACCCAACCAUCAAAUAUAAAACACAAAGAUUAAUUGAAGCAAUUUGAUUCUUUUUUAUAAUAUUAUCAAAAAAUCUUUAGGAUGGUAGAAUUUACCAAAAUGUAUUGUUUUUUCUUUCUCUAAUGUAUAACACUCACUAAUGAUUAGUAUUUUAUGGCUAAAUAAAAUUAUUUAUUCAUAUAAAACAUUAGGAAAUGGUGCUCUGUAGAUUUUGGUAACUAGUUAAAGAAAAAUUUAAAAACUAAAUCAUGAUUUUUGAAUUUC
This 350-nucleotide long non-coding RNA is filed under the name Linum usitatissimum (flax). RNAcentral describes it as "long non-coding RNA (LUSI_LNC003908)". Lineage: Eukaryota; Viridiplantae; Streptophyta; Magnoliopsida; Malpighiales; Linaceae. The record is from RNAcentral.